RNAcentral lists this ribosomal RNA (498 nucleotides) under uncultured bacterium. RNAcentral describes it as "partial 16S ribosomal RNA". It matches the Rfam family "Bacterial small subunit ribosomal RNA", at positions 28 to 507 of the family's 1533-position model. The record is from RNAcentral.
GACGAACGCUGGCGGCGUGCCUAAUACAUGCAAGUCGAGCGGACGAAUCGAAAGCUUGCUUUUGAUUCGUUAGCGGCGGACGGGUGAGUAACACGUGGGCAACCUGCCCUGUAGACGGGGAUAACACCGAGAAAUCGGUGCUAAUACCGGAUAACACGAAAUGUCGCAUGACGUUUCGUUGAAAGACGGCGCAAGCUGUCGCUACAGGAUGGGCCCGCGGCGCAUUAGCUAGUUGGUGAGGUAACGGCUCACCAAGGCGACGAUGCGUAGCCGACCUGAGAGGGUGAUCGGCCACACUGGGACUGAGACACGCCCCAGACUCCUACGGGAGGCAGCAGUAGGGAAUCUUCCGCAAUGGACGAAAGUCUGACGGAGCAACGCCGCGUGAGCGAAGAAGGCCUUCGGGUCGUAAAGCUCUGUUGUUAGGGAAGAACAAGUAACGCAGUAACUGGCGUUACCGUGACGGUACCUAACGAGAAAGCCACGGCUAACUACGUG